Molecule: small nuclear RNA, 102 nt
Filed under: Vombatus ursinus (common wombat)
Lineage: Eukaryota; Metazoa; Chordata; Mammalia; Diprotodontia; Vombatidae
Source: RNAcentral
GUGCUUGCUUCGGUAGCACAUAUACUAAAAUUGGAAUGAUACAGAGAAGAUUAGCAUGGCCCCUGCACAAGGAUAACAAGCAAAUUUGUGAAGUGAAUUAUU